GGCCGGUUAGUUUAGUUGGGAAAACACUAGAUUUGUAAUCUUGAGCCCUCGGAUCGUUCCCGGGACUGGCCU
RNAcentral lists this transfer RNA (72 nucleotides) under marine sediment metagenome. RNAcentral describes it as "tRNA-Thr". It matches the Rfam family "tRNA". From Rfam's summary of the family: Transfer RNA (tRNA) molecules are approximately 80 nucleotides in length. Their secondary structure includes four short double-helical elements and three loops (D, anti-codon, and T loops). The record is from RNAcentral.